UGGACAGAUUAUUGUAUUCGACUGUAUUCACGGCGUGAAACAGGGGAUUACACGGUUUUUAAACGAAAAGUGAAUCAAUUAACAUAAUAGACUCCU
MicroRNA precursor from Nicotiana attenuata, 96 nucleotides. It matches the Rfam family "MIR6152 microRNA precursor family". The record is from Rfam. NCBI's taxonomy places the organism in Eukaryota, Viridiplantae, Streptophyta, Magnoliopsida, Solanales, Solanaceae.